This 92-nucleotide ribosomal RNA is filed under the name Dehalococcoidia bacterium. RNAcentral describes it as "partial 23S ribosomal RNA". It matches the Rfam family "Bacterial large subunit ribosomal RNA", at positions 2832 to 2925 of the family's 2925-position model. Lineage: Bacteria; Bacillati; Chloroflexota; Dehalococcoidia. The record is from RNAcentral.
GGCCACCCGUAGACUACGGGUUUGAUAGGCGGCAGGUGUACGCCGAGCAAUCGGCUUAGCUAAGCCGUACUAAUGGCCGAGGACUUGUCUAU